CCUACGGGGGGCAGCAGUGGGGAAUAUUGGACAAUGGGCGAAAGCCUGAUCCAGCCAUGCCGCGUGUGUGAAGAAGGCCUUUUGGUUGUAAAGCACUUUAAGCGGGGAGGAGGGCUCUGUGGUUAAUACCCAUAGAAGUCGGACGUUACCCGCAGAAUAAGCACCGGCUAACUCUGUGCCAGCAGCCGCGGUAAUACAGAGGGUGCGAGCGUUAAUCGGAAUUACUGGGCGUAAAGCGCGCGUAGGCGGCUUGUUAAGUCGGAUGUGAAAUCCCUGGGCUCAACCUAGGCAUUGCAUACGAUACUGGCAAGCUAGAGUAUGGGAGAGGAAGGUAGAAUUCCAGGUGUAGCGGUGAAAUGCGUAGAGAUCUGGAGGAAUACCGAUGGCGAAGGCAGCCUUCUGGCCUAAUACUGACGCUGAGGUGCGAAAGCAUGGGGAGCAAACAGGAUUAGAUACCCCAGUAGUC
Molecule: ribosomal RNA, 466 nt
Filed under: uncultured bacterium
Lineage: Bacteria
Description: bacterial SSU rRNA
Rfam family: Bacterial small subunit ribosomal RNA
Source: RNAcentral